CAACACUUUCCAACAGGCACUCAAAUCAGAGAAUCUCUCCACGCAAUUUUUUGUUGCAUGUGAAUUCUGUAAUUGCACGGGAUCCAGUCACUUUUAUCCAGGCCGCUCGUUCUAUAUGCCAAGUAGAGAUGGUUGGUGAAAGACCUUACAUCGUGUUAGUCAAAGAAAAAGAGAAAUCAAAAGACAAAGAGAAGGAUAAGGAUAAGGACAGAGCUGACAAAGAGAAAUCUCAGACUUCUAAUGAAGUUGCAACUACCACUCCCCCUGGGAGCACCAAGGCUAAAGUUUACCGGAAACCUCCUCAGUCGUUCAUUGGUGUUGUUGAGCUGCUUCUGGAUUCUCUCUGUAAUUUCGUUCCUCCUCCAAAAGAUGACAUGGUUGAAGGUGAUUCUACUUCAGCAGACAUGGAUAUUGAUCAUGCCUCUACUAAGGGAAAAGGCAAAGCGGUUGCUACUACACCUGAAGAAAAGAAAGCUAUUUCACAGGACAUGUCAGCUUCAUUGGCUAAAAUUGUUUUCAUUCUGAAGCUUUUGAGCGAGAUACUGUUCAUGUAUUCUUCGUCAAUCCAUAUAAUACUUCGAAGAGAUGCUGAAAUUAACAGUCUUAGAGGUCCUCAACAGAAGGGGGGUCAAGUUGGUGGAAUAUUUCAUCAUAUUCUUCACAAGUUUAUUCCAUACUCACGGGUGAAGAAGGAAAAGAAAUCUGAGAGUGAUUGGCGGCAAAAGCUGGCAAGUAGGGCUAAUCAGUUUUUAGUGGGUGCAUCUGUUAGAUCAGCUGAAGCAAGGAAGAGGAUAUUUUCUGACAUUAGCAGUAUCUUCAAUGACUUCGUAGGUACCUCCAAUGGGCUUAGACCUCCAGUUAAUGAAAUACACAUUUUGAUAGAUUUGUUGAGUGAUAUGCUCUCUGCUCGGUCACCUACUGGAUCACAUAUAUCUUCAGAAGCUUCAAAUACUUUUGUUGAUGUUGGACUGGUUAAGUCUCUUACUCGUACACUUGAAGUGUUGGACUUGGACAACGUAGAAUCUCCCAAAACUGUAACAGGAAUCAUAAAAGUUUUGGAGUUGGUGACUAAGGAGCAUGCCCAUUCUGCUGAUUCGAACUCGAAGAAUGAAAAUGCGAACAAGUCAUCUGAUCAAAUUCAAUCAGGAGGAGGAGCAACAUGUACGAAGCUUUUGCAGAUGAAAGAACCCCUUGCUUUUCCCGUUAGAGACUUGCUUGUAUUGAUUUGCUCAGAAAACAAUGGAGAACACCGAUCUGGUGGUAUAUGUUGCAUUCUUAGCCGGAUUAAGGAUUGUUGUCCUGUCUUCGAUGACACAAAGAACAAUCUGCUCUCUGCUCUGUUGCAUGUUCUUGCUUUGAUUCUCCAUGAAGACGCAGGUUCCCGCGAAGUUGCGCUGAAGGCGGGUACUGUAAGACUUGUGUGCGAUGUACUCUCAAAGUGGGAUUCUGGUAGUAUUGAUAAGGAAAAGUUUAAUGUUCCAAAGUGGGUGACGACAGGGUUUCUUGCCAUUGAUAGGCUGCUACAAGUGGACCAGAAAUUAAAUACUGAGCUUAUAGAGGAGUUGCAAAAAGGUGAGACAUCUCUGGCCAUUGAUGAGAGCAAACAAGACAAGCUGCAAUCUGUUUUUGGCUCUCCACAGCUUGUUGAUGCUGACGAUCAGAAGAAGUUGAUUGAGAUUGCUUGUACAUGUAUCCGGAAUCAGCUUCCUUCUGAAACUAUGCAUGCUGUUUUACAACUGUGUUCUACAUUGACAAGGAAGCAUUCUGUUGCUGUCUGCUUUCUUGAUUUUGGAGGUGUGCAAGGACUGCUUUCUCUGCCGAGUAAUAGUCUUUUUCCAGGGUUUGACUCAGUUGCUGCUAGUAUCAUCCGUCAUAUUCUUGAAGACCCCCAAACGCUUCAGCAAGCCAUGGAAUCUGAGAUAAAACAUGCUCUUGCAACACUUUCCAACAGGCACUCAAAUCAGAGAAUCUCUCCACGCAAUUUUUUGUUGCAUGUGAAUUCUGUAAUUGCACGGGAUCCAGUCACUUUUAUCCAGGCCGCUCGUUCUAUAUGCCAAGUAGAGAUGGUUGGUGAAAGACCUUACAUCGUGUUAGUCAAAGAAAAAGAGAAAUCAAAAGACAAAGAGAAGGAUAAGGAUAAGGACAGAGCUGACAAAGAGAAAUCUCAGACUUCUAAUGAAGUUGCAACUACCACUCCCCCUGGGAGCACCAAGGCUAAAGUUUACCGGAAACCUCCUCAGUCGUUCAUUGGUGUUGUUGAGCUGCUUCUGGAUUCUCUCUGUAAUUUCGUUCCUCCUCCAAAAGAUGACAUGGUUGAAGGUGAUUCUACUUCAGCAGACAUGGAUAUUGAUCAUGCCUCUACUAAGGGAAAAGGCAAAGCGGUUGCUACUACACCUGAAGAAAAGAAAGCUAUUUCACAGGACAUGUCAGCUUCAUUGGCUAAAAUUGUUUUCAUUCUGAAGCUUUUGAGCGAGAUACUGUUCAUGUAUUCUUCGUCAAUCCAUAUAAUACUUCGAAGAGAUGCUGAAAUUAACAGUCUUAGAGGUCCUCAACAGAAGGGUGGUCAAGUUGGUGGAAUAUUUCAUCAUAUUCUUCACAAGUUUAUUCCAUACUCACGGGUGAAGAAGGAAAAGAAAUCUGAGAGUGAUUGGCGGCAAAAGCUGGCAAGUAGGGCUAAUCAGUUUUUAGUGGGUGCAUCUGUUAGAUCAGCUGAAGCAAGGAAGAGGAUAUUUUCUGACAUUAGCAGUAUCUUCAAUGACUUCAUAGGUACCUCCAAUGGGCUUAGACCUCCAGCUAAUGAAAUACACAUUUUGAUAGAUUUGUUGAGUGAUAUGCUCUCUGCUCGGUCACCUACUGGAUCACAUAUAUCUUCAGAAGCUUCGAAUACUUUUGUUGAUGUUGGAUUGGUUAAGUCUCUUACUCGUACUCUUGAAGUGUUGGACUUGGACAACGUAGAAUCUCCCAAAACUGUAACAGGAAUCAUAAAAGUUUUGGAGUUGGUGACUAAGGAGCAUGCCCAUUCUGCUGAUUCGAACUCGAAGAAUGAAAAUGCGAACAAGUCAUCUGAUCAAAUUCAAUCAGGAAGAGGAGAUACUACUGCUGAUGCUUCUGAAGCAGGGGGAAUUUUGCUGCGGUCGAAUCAUGAUUCCAUGACAGCUGAUCAUGCGGAGAAUUUUGGCGGUUCCCACACUUUUGUUGGUUCAGAAGAUGUAACAGAUGACAUGGAGCAUGAUCAAGACUUGGAUGAAGAAUUUGCCGCAGGUGGGGAUGAUUAUAUGCAAGAAGAGCCUGAGGAUGCUAGGGGGUUGGAAAACGGGAUUGGGUCGAUGGGUAUAGAGUUUGAGAUGCAUACCCACGUGCCGGAAAAUCUUGAUGAAGAGGAAGACGAAGAGAUGUCUGGUGAUGAGGGUGACGAAAUAGAUGAGGAUGAAAACGAUAAUGAAGAAGAAGACGAGGAGGACAAUGACUUGGAAGAAGAAGAAGAAGAAGAUGUACAUCACCUGCCUCAUCAUGACACAGAUCAAGAUGAUCAUGAGCUUGAGGAUGAUGAAUUUGAAGAGGAAAUACUGGUUGAAGAGGAUGAAGAGGACGAAGAUGAUGAAGAUCGGGUAAUUCUCAGGUUUGAGGAUGGAUUCAAUGGGCUAAACGUUCUUGAUCAUUUGGAGGUUCUUAGAGAUCAUAGAUUUUCCGAUGAAACACUUCAUGUAAUGCCUGUUGAAGUGUUUGGCUCGAGACGUCAAGGACGAACAACUUCUAUUUACAGCCUUCUUGGCAGAACUGGGGAUGGUGCUACUCCUUCACAGCAUCCUCUUUUAUCGGGAUCUCCAUCACUUCCAGCGUCGCAAAGUCAAACAGGUACUCUUUUGUUUUUACUUGUGUUCAUUUCCCUUUAUGUUAUGUUUUAUUUGGGUUUGCUACCAGAUUACAUUUUGUUUGUGUUGAUCUUCCUAAAGGAAUAAUUUGUUAAUCGACCGUUUUCUUCUCUUUGUAGAAAGCACACAUGAUCAUACUGUUGGAGGUAGGGAUUCCAACGGUAGUUCUUCGUCACGGCUGGAUGCUAUAUUCCGAUCUUUGAGGAAUGGCCGGCAGGGGCAUCGUUUGAAUUUAUGGGCUGAUGACAGCCAGCAAAUUGUUGGAUCUGGCGCUUCUACCGUACCACAAGGCCUUGAAGAUUUGCUGGUAUCUCAGUUGAGACGUCCCGGCUCUGAUAAUCCUUCUGCUGAUCAGAAUCCAUCACCUUUGGAACCCCAGUCACAGGCCGAGAGUGGGCAGCCACAGGAGGCAACUGUCAGACCUGAAAUUCCAGAUGAAAACGCCACUGAUAAUGGAGGUGCCAAUGUGUCUGCUCCCUCUAUCGUUUCGCCAGUUGCAUCUGCUACCCCGGAUACACGAGCCCCUGCUACUGAUUCUGUCUCAAGCUCGCGGUCUCAGUCAGUCGAAAUGCAAUAUGAUCCAAAUGAUUCAACUGUUCGGGAUGUUGAAGCGGUGAGUCAAGAAAGCGGUGGGAGUGGGGCAACCUUGGGUGAAAGCCUUAGGAGUUUGGAUGUUGAGAUCGGAAGUGCUGAUGGACAUGAUUAUGGUGGAGAAAGGCAUGAUGUACAGCCAGCUAUACGCUCAAGAAGAGCAAAUUUGUCACUUGCGCCAUCUUCAACUGGGCGAGAAGCUUCUCUUUAUAGUGUAACUGAGGUUCCUGAGAACUCCGGUCACGAGGCUGAGCAGGAUAAUCCACCAGAGGAGCAACCAGUUAACAGGAAUGUUGCUUCUAGUUCUAUUGAUCCUGCAUUUUUAGAUGCCCUACCUGAGGGACUGCGAGCUGAAGUCCUUUCAGCUCAGCAAGGUCAAGCGCCAGAACCUUCUAGCAAUGAACAGCAGAAUUCUGGAGAUAUUGAUCCGGAGUUUCUUGCUGCACUUCCUGCUGAUAUACGAGCUGAAGUUCUGGCACAGCAACAAGCACAACGGGUUCAUCAGUCUCAUGAACUUGAAGGUCAGCCUGUCGAGAUGGACACCGUUUCAAUAAUUGCAACGUUUCCUUCGGAGUUGCGAGAAGAGGUAUUGAGUUGUUGCCUUUUAACGGCAUGACCAUGAGUUGAGUUGAAGUUUAUUCAUCUAAUAUUACUUUUGUUAUCAGGUGUUGCUGACGUCAGAUGAUGCCGUUCUUGCAAAUUUAACACCUGCACUGGUUGCGGAAGCAAACAUGUUGCGUGAAAGGUUUGCUCAUCGAUACCAUAACCGUGCACUUUUUGGUAUGCAUCCAAGACAUCGUAGAGGGGAGGCAUCCAGGCGAGGUGAAGGUGUCAUAUCUGGAAAUGAGGGGAUUGCUUCUCGUAGGUCUGCUGCAAAGGUUAUAGAGGCCGCUGGAGCUCCCCUAGUUAACACUGAGGCACUCCAAGCAAUGAUUCGUGUUCUUCGGAUAGUUCAGGUAGUUACCUAAUGCAUUACUUAGAUAUUUAACUGACAUCACUUGGACAAUUCAUUUAUAUAUCUUUGGUCUGCAGCCUCUUUACAAGGGUCCUCUGCAGAGGCUUUUGCUGAAUUUAUGUUCUCAUGGCGAAACAAGGUUUUCCUUGGUUAAUACAUUCAUGGAUAUGCUGAUGCUCGACACAAGGAAGCCUGUUAACUACUCGAGUGUUUCCGAACCACCUUAUCGUCUUUAUGCUUGUCAAAGCAAUGUAACAUAUUCACGUCCUCAGCACUUUGAUGGUAUGCAUCUAUUAAUACAUUGGAUUCUGACUGGGGAUGUGUUUAUAAUAACCAAGUUCUGUAGAUAAUAGUUGUAAUUCUAUUUGCAGGGGUUCCUCCUCUAGUGUCUCGGCGUGUCCUUGAGACUUUGACAUAUUUGGCACGAAAUCAUAUAUACGUAGCAAAGAUUCUGCUUCAAUCCAGGCUUUCCCUGCCUUCCCUUCAAGGUUCAGUACCCUCAGACAAGGCACGUGGAAAAGCUGUUGUAGUAAGUGAUGAUCACAUGAGCAGAACGCAGCAGGAACCCGAAUCUGUAGCCUUUGCGUUGCUUCUAAGCCUCCUGAAUCAGCCCCUUUAUUUGAGAAGUGUGGCUCAUCUUGAACAGGUACUCCUUUUCAUUCGGUGCUAUGGUUUGGCUUUGUUUACUGUUAUGAAAAUUAACUCGGGUUUGUAUGUAUUUUCUCAUCAUUUGUUCCAGCUGCUGAACUUACUGGAGGUCAUCAUUGACAACGCUGAACGAAAGUCUGAGUCAGCUGACGGAUCAGAUGGGCCUGCCACCGAGCAGCAAUCAACGCAUCAAGCGUUAGAAGUUGAAAACAAUUCAGAAAACCACGAUAUGGUAUCUGGCACUGCUGGUACAGUGACCAAGCCAAUUGUCUCAUCUGGAAGUUCGUCCAACAGAGCAGAGAGUGAAUGUGAUGUUCAUACUGUGUUGCUUAAUCUUCCCCAGUCAGAGCUGUGUCUGCUUUGUUCAUUACUUGCACGUGAAGGGUAUGUCAGAUGCUUAUAUGUGAACACCUCCUACUUUCUGUUCUUUCUAUCUGUCAGUUAAUGCUUAAAUUCUGUAAGUUCUACAACUAGCCUUACUAAUUGUUGUGCUGUUGAUUCAGUUUGUCAGAUAAUGCAUACACCCUUGUAGCGGAGGUGCUGAAAAAACUUGUGGCCAUUGCUCCAAGCCAUUGUCAUUUGUUUAUCACAGAGCUUGCAAACGCAAUACAGAACCUGACAAGAUCAGCGAUCAGUGAACUUCACAUGUUCGGUGAAGCCGUAAAAACGCUUCUAAGUACCACGUCAUCAGAUGGAUCAGGAGUAUUGAGGGUUUUGCAGGCAUUAAGCUCCCUCGUUGAUUCGUUGUUAAUCACAAAAGAGAAGAAUUCCGAAGAGCAUGUUGCUGUGUUUUCUCAGCUAUCGAACAUCAAUUUAGCUUUGGAACCUCUGUGGCUGGAGUUGAGCAAUUGCAUAUGCAAAAUUGAGGGGCAUUCUGAUUCUGCUUCUGUUACUACGACGUCUCCAACAACCUCGAUGAGUUCAGCAACAACAAGGGGAGCUGGAGUAAGCCAGUCACUUCCUGCUGGUGCCCAAAACAUGUUGCCUUAUGUAGAGUCGUUUUUUGUUACCUGUGAGAAAUUGCAUCCAUCAUCACAGUCUUGUGAUAUCUCGGUUCCCAUGGCUUCUUCUGAUGCUGAGGAGCAGCCCAAGGGUCCAGGACCAAGCAGCAGCUCCAAGGUGGAUGAGAAAUACGGUUCUUUUAUCAAGUUUUCUGAAAGGCACAGGAAACUUCUUAAUGCUUUCAUCCGACAAAAUCCUGCCCUGCUUGAGAAGUCCUUUUCGCUAAUGCUCAAGGUUCCACGUUUUAUUGAAUUUGAUAACAAACGUGCAUACUUCAGAUCAAAGAUAAAACACCAGCAUGACCAUCACCAUAGCCCUUUGAGAAUCUCAGUGAGAAGAGCCUACAUUCUUGAAGAUUCAUACAACCAAUUGCGAAUGAGGUCAACACAAGAACUGAAAGGUAGAUUGACUGUUCACUUCCAAGGAGAAGAAGGUAUUGAUGCUGGUGGGCUUACCAGGGAAUGGUAUCAGCUGUUGUCAAGGGUUAUUUUUGACAAAGGAGCUCUUCUGUUCACAACCGUUGGCAAUGACUCGACUUUCCAACCGAAUCCAAACUCUGUUUACCAGACAGAGCACCUCUCCUACUUCAAAUUCGUUGGCCGGGUGGUAAGCUCCUUUUUCUUUUUUUUCUUUUUACCUAAGUAAGUAGCUGCGUUAAUUCCUUCCUAAAUUCUAUCUAUCCCGCCUGCACAGGUUGGAAAAGCUCUGUUUGAUGGUCAACUACUUGACGUCCAUUUCACUCGCUCUUUUUACAAGCAUAUCUUGGGAGUUAAGGUCACGUACCAUGAUAUUGAAGCUAUAGAUCCCGAUUACUAUAAAGCCCUGAAAUGGAUGCUGGAGGUAUAUAUAUACUGUAGAUACACCUUUGUUUGUUUGUUUCUUUGGUCCAAAGCAUUUGUUACUCAUCUGUUGUUUUUUCUAAAAUGCAGAAUGAUAUUAGCGAUGUCCUAGAUCUCACUUUUAGCGUUGAUGCUGAUGAGGAAAAGCUAAUACUGUAUGAAAAAACGGAGGUAACAACUAUAACUUGUUCAGCCUUUUUUAACUGUGUCUUUGAAAUGAAAUUUGUUUGAACGAACAUUAAAAAAAAACAAUUGCAGGUGACUGACCAUGAACUGAUCCCUGGAGGGCGGAACAUUAAAGUUACUGAGGAGAAUAAGCAUGAAUAUGUAGACCUAAUCGCCGAGCAUCGAUUAACCACAGCCAUUCGUCCUCAGAUAAAUGCAUUCCUGGAAGGGUUUAGUGAACUUAUCCUUAAAGAUCUAAUAUCGAUUUUUAACGACAAGGAACUGGAGUUAUUAAUAAGUGGUCUUCCUGAUAUCGACUGUAAGUAGUAGUUAUAUAUAUCAUAAUCCUCCUGUGCCAAGAAUUUUAUUGCCUCUGACCUUUUUUUUGUUGGGUUAUUAUGUAUCAGUGGAUAACCUGAGGGCGAAUACUGAAUAUUCUGGGUAUAGUCCUGGAUCCCCUGUUAUCCAGUGGUUCUGGGAGGUUGUUCAGGGAUUGAGCAAAGAAGACAAAGCCCGUCUAUUGCAGUUUGUGACUGGAACCUCUAAGGUAAAGAAAACAUGUUUGGUUUGUUUCAUUAAGAUAAGAUUUUUUUUUUUUUCAAAGUGGGAAACUGACGUUUUGAACUCAACAACACAAGGUACCUCUGGAAGGAUUUAGUUCCCUUCAAGGAAUUUCAGGGGCACAGAAGUUUCAGAUCCACAAGGCAUAUGGAAGCGCUGAUCACUUGCCGUCUGCUCAUACCUGGUAAAAAAAAAUCUCAAUCCUCCAAUGAAACUAUUAUCUGAUGGAUGAUGGAUGACCACAAAUAUUAAUAUAUAUCCAAAACUGUUUUGUUUGCAGUUUCAAUCAGUUAGAUCUGCCAGAGUACCCGUCUAAGGAGCAUCUGCAGGAGAGGCUGCUGCUUGCAAUCCAUGAAGCAAGCGAAGGAUUCGGAUUUGGUUAAAACAAAAACCAGCGUCCUUUUUUUCUUGCUAUUUCAUUGUAUACAUAUGCCUUUUGGGCUAAACGAAUGAUUUUCUGUAAUUCUCACUCUCUACUCUAACGUCCGUUUAAAAGAGUAUGUUCAAUAGUUAUUUUUAUCCCUUAGUUUGCAGAGAAAUAACCACUUCUCUAUUAGAAAGCACUUCCACCCUUUAUUGGAUGCUCUUCAUUAAGCAAGCUGUUUUGUUUAGUUGACAAUCCAAACAUUAGUUGUUUUUUUUUUUUUGUCAACUAGUUGUUGUUUUUUAACACUGAAAAUUUCAGGUUCAAAAAGACAACAUAGUGUUUCCUUGAUGAAAUACAAUAAUCCACCGAUAAAUGAUAUAAAUAACUCAAAUAAGCAUCCCAAAUAAAAGUUGCAAGAAAAAAACUGAGUGGUCGAAAUCAACACACCGAUUAAAUGUGACCAAGAAGCUAUGCAGCAGAGAUUCAAACACCCACUUUUUUACUUAGGAAAAGUGGUGCCAAGAUGGACCCCAAGAAGCAAUAGACCCCAAGAAGAAAUGGACGAGGCCAACACAUACCUCCCACAGCUACUACAUAUGACUGAAACUGAUGAUCUGGUGAUACUUUUUGCAAUAUCAUGACCACCUUGAACGGAAACAGAGCAUCUUCGAACCAACAAAUAGAAAAUGAUACAAUCUCGAACCAAAAACGAAAAAUGAAACGGUAUACAACCUAAAUGUGUUCAGAUAUUAAUGAUAUCAUUUAACCAACUUUUGCUUAGGUAAUCUAAUUGGAUGAUAAUUUUUUUUCUUUACUCGAACUAGGUCUAAAAAGUAAUUAUAUAAUCAAGUAAUACAAGUUGCCGAAGAACCACACAAAAAAAUUUAUAUUAAUUAAUUGUGGAGAACUAUAAAAUGUUUGAAUUCUUUAAUUUUUUAAACAAUUAUGUAUUUAUAAACUAUAGAAAAUAAAAUGUUUGAAUUCUUUAUGCAUUUUCAACAUUGUGCAAGGGCUCCUAGCUUUUAACUGAACAAAAAAAACGGACAAACAACUUUCCUUUGUUCCUUGGGUGGAAAAUUUGGAAAAUGAGUAACAAGCAAUGCAGCUUGCUUGGAUCAGAAGGUGUGGACAGAGGCGGUAACUCAAAAUAACCAGCAAAUCCUAGCUGCUCAUGCCUACAAACCAAUUCCAUCCAUGAGGUAUUACUCCCUGGAACUUUGUAACAGUCUUGUGGAUACUUCCUGGAAAAGACCAACUGAUAUGUGUGGCAUUGGAUGGUCCUUAUUCAGUAAAGAAGACAUUUCUCAUAUCUAAGGAAACUAUGCAUUCAUUCCUAUAAACUCACCAUUGAUAGCAAACCACAACUCUUUUAUCAGCAGUUCAACAGUUGAUCAGUUAUCCUACAUGAAGAGUGCUUUUCUUAGGAAAUUGCAGCAAUCAGCAGCAGAAGGCAAGAAGCUCGAUAUAAUUGAGGCAACACCUGUACUUCAGGACAUCUACGAGCUAUCAAAGGAUAAUAAUUUCACUUUCUUUUAUAUAAGCAGAAAUUGUACUCGAUAUGUAGAUCAACUUGCUAAGAAGGCCAUGAUUGGUCGUCAGAAUUAUGUAAUAUCCUGAGUGUUUUAAACAAUCUUCUUGUACUUACCUAUUAAUGGAAGAAAAAGUUGAAAAAGGAUUUGUUAUUGUCCAUGUUUAUAUAUUAUUAUUUAAACAAAUCCUACAUAAUGUUAUUCAGACUUAUUCUUUGAAAAAGGGGGAAAAUAAUUAAAACUAAAAUGGCACGUAAUUUCUAGUUAAGCCCCAUAACCACUCCGGCACGGCAAAAUGCUGUCUGUGACUUGUGACGGUCUCUCACUAUACAAUUAAUUUAAGCCCAAACUCUAAUAUAUGGGUUACAUUAAGCACAAUCGAUCUCUCUCUCUCUCUCUCCCUUUUUCUGGGGUUUUCUUCUCUCCUUCUACUGCGUUCGUUUUCGUCUUUUUUUUACAAAAGAAGUUCAGAAUCAGUUUUGGUUCUGUUUUUUAUUUGGUUUUGAUUUGAUAGCAUGGUUAGACCCAAAAAUGAUCAGAUGAAUUUUAUUCGCUGUGUCUAGAUUGAUCGAAUAUAUAUAGAGCAUGUAAUAUUUUUUUUUUAAUGAAAAUUGAUCGAAUAUAAAAAUACUCAAAAAGAAGAUAUUGUUACCAAAAAAGGGUGAGGAUAUUAUAGUAAUUUGAAUUGCAUUCAAAUGAUUAAAGGAUCUUGGUUUGGGGAUUCAAAUUCAAACGACAUUUUCGUAUUAGGUAACAAGAUGGAGAAGAUCUGUGUAGCAGUCAGGGUGAGGCCGCCGACGCCGGAAUCAUCAUCAUCGGAGAACGGAUCUUCUCUCUGGAAAGUCGAAGACAAUCGCAUCUCUCUUCACAAGUCACUCGACACCCCAAUCUCAACCGCUUCUUACGCUUUCGGUACCAAAUCUUUCUCAAUCCAUUUAUUCUGGGUUUCCAUUUCUACGUAUCUGGGUACCUUCAAAAUCUCAUCUUUAUAAUCUCUGUGGUGUUUGUUCUUUUGCAGACCAUGUGUUCGACGAAAGGUCUACGAACGCAUGCGUCUACGAACUUCUUACCAAGGAUAUCAUUCAUGCCGCCGUCGAGGGUUUUAACGGUAUUCAGAUCUGAUCCUAACCUUAAUAACAAAAAACGCGAGGUUAAUUUUUAGUUCACUUUCUUGAUGUAUGGUUUUGUUCAGGUACUGCGUUUGCUUAUGGGCAAACUAGUAGUGGAAAGACGUUUACAAUGACGGGUUCUGAGACUGAUCCAGGGAUUAUUCGAAGAUCUGUCAGAGAUGUGUUUGAUAGAAUACAAAUGGUAGGUCUAAGAUCAAUUGAAUGAUUCGGUGAGGUUUUAUAACUAAAGAGUUCAGUUUUUAACUUGUGUGUGUGUUGAUGAUCUUUAGAUAUCGGACCGUGAGUUUCUCAUCCGGGUUUCGUACAUGGAGAUUUAUAAUGAAGAAAUUAAUGAUCUUUUAGCUGUUGAGAACCAGAGACUGCAAAUUCAUGAACAUUUGGAGGUUGGUUUGAUGGAACGUCUACACAAGUGAUGUUACAUCAUUUAGUUUUGCUCAAGUGUUACUAAACCGGUUUGCUUGUCUUUGAUGUGCAGCGUGGAGUGUUUGUUGCUGGUCUUAAGGAAGAGAUUGUUAGUGACGCUGAACAGAUUCUAAAGCUUUUAGACUCUGGAGAAGGUUUUUAAGCCAAAGCUAAGCUAAGAAGUAUUUUGAUUAUGCAUAAUAAUGUGUAUUGACAUGGUCUUCUUUAAUUAACAGUUAAUAGGCACUUUGGCGAGACAAACAUGAACGUUCAUAGUAGCAGGUCCCAUACCGUCCUUUUUUUCUUGCUAUUUCAUUGUAUACAUAUGCCUUUUGGGCUAAACGAAUGAUUUUCUGUAAUUCUCACUCUCUACUCUAACGUCCGUUUAAAAGAGUAUGUUCAAUAGUUAUUUUUAUCCCUUAGUUUGCAGAGAAAUUAGUGAUAAUUUUACCAUCUUCCAAAAGUUUCUUGUGGAGGCUACAUUUAAAUGAUAAUUCUCUUACUGGUGUUCUUUUAAUGGAAUCUAGAAUUUGGUUGACCUGGCUGGAUCUGAGCGUAUUGCUAAAACCGGUGCUGGUGGAGUGCGCUUGACAGAAGGGAAGUACAUUAAUAAGAGCUUAAUGAUUCUUGGUAAUGUUAUCAAUAAGCUAAGUGAAAGUUCAAAGCUAAGGUACUUUCUUACCCUUUCAUUUAGCUACACGUACCAACGAUACAGCUCAGCUCAUUUCUUACAUUCUUGAUUAUAGAGCACAUAUUCCUUACCGAGACAGUAAGCUAACUAGAAUUCUUCAGCCUGCACUUGGUGGUAAUGCCAAGACUUGCAUUAUAUGCACUAUCGCACCAGAAGAGGUAAAAGAAGUUUUCUUUUUGUCAGGUUUUGCAUUUUCCUGGCUUUUGUUAAUCAUGCACACGAAAGAUUAGUCAAUUAAUGAGUAAUAGUUGAAUGCUCAUGUGUGUAGCAUCAUAUUGAGGAAUCAAAAGGAACUCUCCAAUUUGCAAGCAGAGCCAAACGCAUCACCAACUGUGCUCAAAUUAAUGAGGUCAGCAUGUCAAUGAGCGCAAGAUUCUUGGGAGAGAUUUAACUCACUUUCUUCUUUGUGUCCUGUUGAUUUGUUUUUCUUCUUCUUCUUUAUUGAAUAUCUGACAGUGUUUCAAUGCUUCAGAUCUUGACUGAUGCUGCUUUGUUGAAACGCCAAAAAUUAGAGAUAGAAGAACUAAGGAUGAAGCUUCAGGUAUAGUCAACAUUUAUUUCAAAUACAUCUAGGCAUGGGGACGACACUAACAUUACUAAAUUUUGUAGGGAUCCCAUGCUGAGGUGUUGGAACAAGAGAUAUUAAAGUUAAGCAAUCAGAUGCUUAAGGUAGUUUUUUUUUUGCAUUUUUCUCUUGUGUAUGUAUUCUAUAGAACAUUGAGCAGACACAGUAUACUAAACAUCUACCCUUUUGUUUGAUUUCCAGUAUGAGUUAGAAUGUGAAAGGCUAAAAACACAACUGGAAGAAGAGAGAGGAAAACAGAAGGAGCAGGAGCAAUGCAUCAAGGAGCAACAGUUAAAAAUUGAGAACUUAAACAAUCUUGUCACUAAUUCAGACUUUAAGAAGAACCAGUCAGAGGUACAUAUGCAUUCAUUGGCUCAGAUAGAUUUUCUGAAUAAUGCCUCAACCAUAACACCCAGACAUUUUUUUCUGAGAAACAGGCUUUAAUUUGCAAACUCCUAACUUCUUAUUGAUUGUGUUAGAGAAGUUAAUUAUUGCUUUUAUGCUAAUAUGUUGGACUCAUGUAGUUUGGUUAUGUAAAGCUUUUGUUAAUGUAACAUCUCUAUUGGCAGGACUUUAUUAGUUUAAGAAGGACUCAAGUUGGGCGAUGCAAUGUCAAUGAUAGCAGCGGUUUUCCUGGGACUCCUUGCUUCGAAUCAGCUGAACCUUCCUUUGUGGUUGCUCGGUCGAAGUACUCAGGACUAUCUGAUUUUAGUCCAAUGGUUGAUUCACUGGGGGACGUGGCCGAUGAAGACACUUGGACAAAACUAAACAAGGGUUUUGUCCCAGACCUUGAUCAACUCCAGUUUACACCUGCAAUUAAAAGGCAACCCACUCCAUUAAUUGCUGCAACCACGGUUAGUAGAUACAAAUACUUGACCCAUGUUAUCUUCCAAUAGUAACAGAGUUGCAAUGAAUAGAGACACGUGGAUGCAUAUGGUCUCUUUAUUCGCUCCCCUUUUCAUAUCAGCAUGCACACAAACACUCUGGUGCAUCAAUACUGGCUGGUAUCUAGCUCAUGUAUACUGAGAAUUACUAAAUUUUGAAACUUCAUAUAGAUGAAUACCGAAUACGCAUACAUUAUCCAAAACACGUUCCUAAGCUGGCCAUAAUUUUUCGUUAACUUUGUUUUAGGAAUGCUCGCGUGAAAAUCAGAAAGUGGUGGAAGAUCUCAAAAGUCAGAUUGAGUUGCUGACCAGUGAAAAGGACAGCCUGCAGGUUAGACAUAUUGGCUUUAUUGGUUGUUCAAGUGAAUAUGCUUUAGCCUUUAGCCAUAAAAUGAAUAUUCUGUUAAAAAUUAAAUGAAUGAUACCAGCUGAUUGUUUAUGCAUCAACUAUGCAUUCUCAGGUAAAAUUCAGCGAACAAGUAGUACUGAACAACAAACUUUUGGGAGAGAUAUCUGAGCUCAAAGAAGGAACGCUUCACAUGAAAGAAAUUCCAAAACUGUUAUCUGAGUCGGUUGCUAAUUGCAAGGAUGUAUACAAGGACGUGAUAGUCACAAUGAAGGUGAACAGCUUACCUUUUCUUAUGUGAAUGAUCAUCACUAAAAGGAAAAUUGAGUUUAAAGUCUUUUGUCUUGCAUUUUGUCAGACCUUAAUGGCUGAGAAAGAAUCUCCGACAGCAAAGCUACUCUUUGGUGUAACUGGAAUCUCAACAAGCCUUCUUUCAACUCUAGAAUCACAAUUCUCAAUGAUAAUGGAUGGUCAGAAAGCGGGUAGCAUCGUAGAUUAUCCUUUAUAUGAUCAAUGGGAAACACUUCGUGUUAGUCUGAAGAACACAGCCACAAGCCUGCUGUUAGACGCACAAGCAAAAGAUGAAAUUCUUAACUCCCACGACAAGGUAGAUUCCUUGUCACAAUCAUCAAGAUACGGAUCAAUUUUGCUUAUUGUUUCUUUCGUUUUGCUUUUAUACUUUUGUCUCUCUUUUUAUACUUUUGUCUCUCUUGUUAGGACUUAGUCCAGUGAAACCUCUGCAUACGUUUCUUAAGGGUUUGGAUCAUAACUUAUAUACUUUCCUGUUUCUUGUACAUUUACAUCUCAUUGGAGCUUCACUUGAAUCUCUAUAUACCAAUGUUUCAAUGGGAAAAGCAGGAACUGAUUCUUGUUUAGUUGAUUAGAUCUUGUGGUCAGAUUACUAUAUCUAAGACAGGUUUUGAAUGUGAAUUUUUAAGGGACAAGAAGCGGGUGCAAUGGAGGAGAAGCUGAAGUCUGAGCUCAGCAUAGUCAAGGAAAGAUAUAACGAGCUGGAGAAAGAGUUGUCUUUGGAUAAACUGCUUCUAAAAGCUUCAAGAGAGAGCCAUGAGAGGCUGGAAAAGGAAGUACAAUUCCUGAAGGAAGAAAGAGAUUCAUUAGAUGUAGCAGUCUCUCAAUCAACUCAGAGGUUGAGAGUGAUUGCAUCUGAUAAAGAGAAUGCUUUGAAAGAUCUUAAUGUGGAAGUGAAGAGAAGGAAAGAGAUGGAGGAAGAGAUUAAGCAAAUCAGCGUCUUUGAUGUGCAGCGUGGAGUGUUUGUUGCUGGUCUUAAGGAAGAGAUUGUUAGUGACGCUGAACAGAUUCUAAAGCUUUUAGACUCUGGAGAAGGUUUUUAAGCCAAAGCUAAGCUAAGAAGUAUUUUGAUUAUGCAUAAUAAUGUGUACUGACAUGGUCUUCUUUAAUUAACAGUUAAUAGGCACUUUGGCGAGACAAACAUGAACGUUCAUAGUAGCAGGUCCCAUACCAUCUUCAGAAUGGUAAGGGUUUUCAAAUCUAUGUACGGAAACUUCUACUGUUUUGUAAGUGAUUAUUUUGAUCUGAUCUCUCUGGUGGGAUAGGUGAUUGAGAGCAGGGGAAAAGAAAACUCUUCUACGGAUGCUAUCCGUGUCUCAGUCUUGGUGAGUGAUAAUUUUACCAUCUUCCAAAAGUUUCUUGUGGAGGCUACAUUUAAAUGAUAAUUCUCUUACUGGUGUUCUUUUAAUGGAAUCUAGAAUUUGGUUGACCUGGCUGGAUCUGAGCGUAUUGCUAAAACCGGUGCUGGUGGAGUGCGCUUGACAGAAGGGAAGUACAUUAAUAAGAGCUUAAUGAUUCUUGGUAAUGUUAUCAAUAAGCUAAGUGAAAGUUCAAAGCUAAGGUACUUUCUUACCCUUUCAUUUAGCUACACGUACCAACGAUACAGCUCAGCUCAUUUCUUACAUUCUUGAUUAUAGAGCACAUAUUCCUUACCGAGACAGUAAGCUAACUAGAAUUCUUCAGCCUGCACUUGGUGGUAAUGCCAAGACUUGCAUUAUAUGCACUAUCGCACCAGAAGAGGUAAAAGAAGUUUUCUUUUUGUCAGGUUUUGCAUUUUCCUGGCUUUUGUUAAUCAUGCACACGAAAGAUUAGUCAAUUAAUGAGUAAUAGUUGAAUGCUCAUGUGUGUAGCAUCAUAUUGAGGAAUCAAAAGGAACUCUCCAAUUUGCAAGCAGAGCCAAACGCAUCACCAACUGUGCUCAAAUUAAUGAGGUCAGCCUGUCAAUGAGCGCAAGAUUCUUGGGAGAGAUUUAACUCACUUUCUUCUUUGUGUCCUGUUGAUUGGUUUUUCUUCUUCUUCUUUAUUGAAUAUCUGACAGUGUUUCAAUGCUUCAGAUCUUGACUGAUGCUGCUUUGUUGAAACGCCAAAAAUUAGAGAUAGAAGAACUAAGGAUGAAGCUUCAGGUAUAGUCAACUUUUAUUUCAAAUACAUCUAGGCAUGGGGACGACACUAACAUUACUAAAUUUUGUAGGGAUCCCAUGCUGAGGUGUUGGAACAAGAGAUAUUAAAGUUAAGCAAUCAGAUGCUUAAGGUAGUUUUUUUUUUGCAUUUUUCUCUUGUGUAUGUAUUCUAUAGAACAUUGAGCAGACACAGUAUACUAAACAUCUACCCUUUUGUUUGAUUUCCAGUAUGAGUUAGAAUGUGAAAGGCUAAAAACACAACUGGAAGAAGAGAGAGGAAAACAGAAGGAGCAGGAGCAAUGCAUCAAGGAGCAACAGUUAAAAAUUGAGAACUUAAACAAUCUUGUCACUAAUUCAGACUUUAAGAAGAACCAGUCAGAGGUACAUAUGCAUUCAUUGGCUCAGAUAGAUUUUCUGAAUAAUGCCUCAACCAUAACACCCAGACAUUUUUUUCUGAGAAACAGGCUUUAAUUUGCAAACUCCUAACUUCUUAUUGAUUGUGUUAGAGAAGUUAAUUAUUGCUUUUAUGCUAAUAUGUUGGACUCAUGUAGUUUGGUUAUGUAAAGCUUUUGUUAAUGUAACAUCUCUAUUGGCAGGACUUUAUUAGUUUAAGAAGGACUCAAGUUGGGCGAUGCAAUGUCAAUGAUAGCAGCGGUUUUCCUGGGACUCCUUGCUUCGAAUCAGCUGAACCUUCCUUUGUGGUUGCUCGGUCGAAGUACUCAGGACUAUCUGAUUUUAGUCCAAUGGUUGAUUCACUGGGGGACGUGGCCGAUGAAGACACUUGGACAAAACUAAACAAGGGUUUUGUCCCAGACCUUGAUCAACUCCAGUUUACACCUGCAAUUAAAAGACAACCCACUCCAUUAAUUGCUGCAACCACGGUUAGUAGAUACAAAUACUUGACCCAUGUUAUCUUCCAAUAGUAACAGAGUUGCAAUGAAUAGAGACACGUGGAUGCAUAUGGUCUCUUUAUUCGCUCCCCUUUUCAUAUCAGCAUGCACACAAACACUCUGGUGCAUCAAUACUGGCUGGUAUCUAGCUCAUGUAUACUGAGAAUUACUAAAUUUUGAAACUUCAUAUAGAUGAAUACCGAAUACGCAUACAUUAUCCAAAACACGUUCCUAAGCUGGCCAUAAUUUUUCGUUAACUUUGUUUUAGGAAUGCUCGCGUGAAAAUCAGAAAGUGGUGGAAGAUCUCAAAAGUCAGAUUGAGUUGCUGACCAGUGAAAAGGACAGCCUGCAGGUUAGACAUAUUGGCUUUAUUGGUUGUUCAAGUGAAUAUGCUUUAGCCUUUAGCCAUAAAAUGAAUAUUCUGUUAAAAAUUAAAUGAAUGAUACCAGCUGAUUGUUUAUGCAUCAACUAUGCAUUCUCAGGUAAAAUUCAGCGAACAAGUAGUACUGAACAACAAACUUUUGGGAGAGAUAUCUGAGCUCAAAGAAGGAACGCUUCACAUGAAAGAAAUUCCAAAACUGUUAUCUGAGUCGGUUGCUAAUUGCAAGGAUGUAUACAAGGACGUGAUAGUCACAAUGAAGGUGAACAGCUUACCUUUUCUUAUGUGAAUGAUCAUCACUAAAAGGAAAAUUGAGUUUAAAGUCUUUUGUCUUGCAUUUUGUCAGACCUUAAUGGCUGAGAAAGAAUCUCCGACAGCAAAGCUAUUCUUUGGUGUAACUGGAAUCACAACAAGCCUUCUUUCAACUCUAGAAUCACAAUUCUCAAUGAUAUUGGAUGGUCAGAAAGCGGGUAGCAUCAUAGAUCAUCCUUUAUAUGAUCAAUGGGAAACACUUCGUGUUAGUCUGAAGAACACAGCCUCAAGCCUGCUGUUAGACGCACAAGCAAAAGAUGAAAUUCUUAACUCCCACGACAAGGUAGAUUCCUUGUCACAAUCAUCAAGAUACGGAUCAAUUUUGCUUAUUGUUUCUUUCGUUUUGCUUUUAUACUUUUGUCUCUCUUGUUAGGACUUAGUCCAGUGAAACCUCUGCAUACAUUUCUUAAGGGUUUGGAUCAUAACUUAUAUAUUUUCCUGUUUCUUGUACAUUUACAUCUCAUUGGAGCUUCACUUGAAUCUCUGUAUACCAAUGUUUCAAUGGGAAAAGCAGGAACUGAUUCUUGUUUAGUUGAUUAGAUCUUGUGGUCAGAUUACUAUAUCUAAGACAGGUUUUGAAUGUGAAUUUUUAAGGGACAAGAAGCGGGUGCAAUGGAGGAGAAGCUGAAGUCUGAGCUCAGCAUAGUCAAGGAAAGAUAUAACGAGCUGGAGAAAGAGUUGUCUUUGGAUAAACUGCUUCUAAAAGCUUCAAGAGAGAGCCAUGAGAGGCUGGAAAAGGAAGUACAAUUCCUGAAGGAAGAAAGAGAUUCAUUAGAUGUAGCAGUCUCUCAAUCAACUCAGAGGUUGAGAGUGAUUGCAUCUGAUAAAGAGAAUGCUUUGAAAGAUCUUAAUGUGGAAGUGAAGAGAAGGAAAGAGAUGGAGGAAGAGAUUAAGCAAAUCAGCUUUGCUUUCUCUAGCAGGCAGAAGUCUCUUAUGUCUUUUCACAAUGAAAUCAAAUCCAAAAUGCAGAAACUAACAACGCAGAAUCCGAAAUUGAAGUAGCAGAAACAGCUGUUUGUGUUAAAGUUUAUGCCAUUGUUACAACUAGCUCAUGUGUUAUUUAUGUAACAACUCAUUACUGGUACUCCAAUAUUAUCUAAAACUAAAGUUCGGCUUUGAUAGUACUAUAAUGAGACAUUUAAAACGAUAGUCGAUUGUUCAACACGGAAAACAUGAAUCAAUUUUUUCUUUUACAUGUUUUUUUCUUUAAUUCGGUAGCAUUUUUUUUUUUUUAAACUAGGAGUACUGUAAUUGGAGUCGCGGCAAUAAUAAUCCACGAGUACGGUUUCAACAUAUCUUUGUCUGUGACAUUUAUAUGCCAAGGGUUUGCGGAGACCAUUGGUACGUUUGCCUUUGUCCUAAACUGGUUCCUAAGAGGUGUGACUACGAAUAUUGGCAUGGUUAAAAAUUUCAGAACUAGGAGUACUGUAAUUGGAGUCGCGGCAAUGAUAAUCCAAUGGUAUAUCGGAAAACUAGUCUAUAUCUACGGAGAGAAAUCUAGUGACCUAACGAUGACGAAUAUGGAAUACUAAAUAUAUAUUGAAUAAUUAAAAGUCAGUAACUAUUACAUAUAUAAUUAAAUUGGUGCGAACGUAUACAUCAAUUUUAUUAAUCCAAACAAUUUUUUUAAAAAAUUUGAUAGGAUAUGUAAUUAAAUUUAAAUGAUAUUAACAUAUAUAGUAUAUUUUUAAUAUUAAUGUCUAUAUUUUUUUUUUAAAUGAUGCUUUCUACUCAUAUAUAUACUUUAUCCACAUUAGGCAAUUCCGUAAUCUUUAUUUAAGGAAAUAAUAAAUGACAUUAAUAAUGAAUUUAUGGUUAGUUUAAUAAAAAGUUUAUUAUAUAAUUAGAUGGACCAACCUAUUUCUCUAGUAAUUCUAAGAAUCAUCCUAGUGAUGACAUGUGACUACAAAAAGAAGUUGUAAUGUUUCACAAAUAAUAUAUAUGAGAUUUUGUAAUUAUAUUAACCACGAGUAUGGCUCCCUUCACUUGCAUCAACAUGCUCCUUAUAGACCUUAAGGUAGUUCAAGUCUCUUCAAAAAAAAAAAAUAGCAUAUUUUCUUUAAUAUAUUUUCUCUUUUUUGGUCAACAAUAUAUUUUCUUUUAAAAUCACUAAUUUAAACGAUUGAAAAAAAACACUUAUUCAAUAUAACAAAACUUUAGAUUAGAUAGGUAACAUGAAAUCCAAUUAGUACAACUAAAAGCUCUACAUCAAAUAUUGAUGAUGAUGCAGAAUCAACUGUCCAAAAAAAUAUAUUUAAUGGGAUGCACUCAAAUUUCUAGGAUAUUAUUCACAUUUUCAUGAAAUAUUUUUAAAAAUAGUACAGAAAUUUACAUAGAUUUUGCUUUGGAUAGGUGAAAACUCUAAACUGAAAUAGAUCCAAAAUGAACUUGACACUUAUUUAUGUUAAAAUUCCCCUUGAUUUGUGGUGUUUCUGGGAUAAAAAUGAUAAUAAUUAAAAACCAAUGUGGGAGCAGAGCUCGAACCCUGGCCUACGAUAACCAGUAAAGUCACAUAACCACAUUGACAGAACAAACUCAUUGCGGGAUCUCUCAAAAUGUAUACAAGUACAUUACAUUAAGCCCAAACUGUUUAAUAUAUUAAGUUAAGCCUAGACGGUGUCUCUCUCUCUGUAUCCCUCUCUCUUUUCUUUUCUGGGGUUUUCUUCUCUCCUUCUACUGCGUUCUUCGUCGUCUCUUUCUAGGUAUCUCUACAUACAUACUGUCUCAGAUUCGUAUUUUGGUUCUCUGAUCUGUUACGAUUCUGAGAUUGAUCACUCUCAAACCUUUAUUUGUAGAUGGCGACUGGCAGAUCCGCAAGUAUGCCGUCACGGUUGCGGCAGCUUCUUUCCGGCGAAGGGUCCAUCGGCCCCUCUAUUAGGCUCGACGCUGAGCCUGUGAGUUGUCUCAAAUUCGAUUUUUAGGGUUUUUUUUAAUUGAUAUUGAUUGAAUUCAAUUAGGGCUUUUUAAUUUGAUUUUGAAAUCCUGUCACAAGCUUUAGCCUUAAUUAGGGUUUAUUAUUGUCAUGUGUUGUAGCCUCCGGAGAUCAAAUCGUUUAUUGAGAAAGUAAUCCAGAGUCCACUCUCUGAUAUUGCGAUACCUCUCUCUGGCUUUCGCUGGGAGUACAGUAAGGUAACCAUAAUAAUAAUACAUAGAAGCCUUUCUCAUAUUAUCCUUUUUUGUUGAUUGAUUGAUUAUUGUUAUUCCAGGGCAACUUCCAUCACUGGAGACCUCUUUUUCUACAUUUUGACAAGUACUUCAAGACGUUUAUAUCAACUAGGAAUGACCUUCUCUUGUCUGAUCACAUUUUGGAAGAUGCGGAUCCCUUUCCCAAGUACUCUGUUCUUCAAAUUCUCCGUGUGAUGCAGAUCAUUCUCGAAAAUUGUCCCAACAAAAGUUCCUUUGAUGGUUUAGAGGUAUGCCUCAUCUGUUUCCCAUAUCUAUCUUAAAGCUCGUUUAACUUUAUUAGUAACUCUUUCCUACAUUGUUUGUUUUUUUGCAGCACUUUAAGCUCCUACUUGCCUCCACAGAUCCAGAGGUUCUCAUUGCUGCCCUGGAAACCCUUUCUGCGCUUGUGAAAAUCAGCUCAUCUAAGCUCCACAGGAGCGGAAAGUUGAUUGGAUGUGGUUCCGUAAACAGCUUCCUUCUCUCUAUUGCCCAGGGCUGGGGUAGCAAAGAGGAGGGUCUGGGUUUGUAUUCCUGCGUUGUCGCUAACGAGAGAAACCAGGAAGAAGGUCUCAGCAUCUUUCCUUCCGACUUGGAAAAUAAUCACAAGGAAGCUGAUUUUCGGAUUGGUUCUACUGUUUAUUUUGAGUUGCGUGGACACAGUGCCCAGAGAAUAGAUGAUGGUAGUAGUAGUGCUACUUCUUCUUCUUCUUCUUCUUCAAGGGUGAUACAGAUUCCUGAUUUGCACUUGCGGAAAGAGGAUGAUCUUGUGUUAAUGAAGGAGUGUAUAGAGCAUUACAAUGUUCCCCCGGAGCUCAGGUUCUCUCUACUGACCCGUGUCAGGUAUGCUCAUGCUUUUCGUUCUUCCAGAAUAUGCCGGAGUUAUAGCAGGAUCUGCCUACUUGCGUUUAUUGUACUUGUUCAGUCAAGUGAUGCCCAAGAAGAACUUGCAUCCUUUUUUGCAAACGAACCUGAGUAUACAAAUGAAUUAAUAAGAAUUGUCAGAUCUGAAGAACCAAUCCCCGGAACCAUUAGAACUCUUGCCAUGCUUGCAUUGGGCGCUCAAUUGGCUGUAUACUCCGCCUCUCAUGAUCGAGCCAGGAUUCUAAGCAGAUCUAGCAUCAGUUUCGCCGUAGGCAACAGAAUGAUUCUGCUUAAUGUGCUUCAGAAAGCCGUUCUCUCUCUGAAGAUUUCUAGUGAUCCAUCAUCUAUUGCUUUUGUUGAGGCGCUACUUCAGUUUUAUUUGCUUCACAUUGUUUCAUCAUCGUCAUCUGGAAGCACUAUAAGGGGGUCUGGCAUGGUUCCCACAUUUCUCCCUCUCUUGGAGUAUACUGAUCCGAGUCACCUGCAUCUUGUGUAUUUGGCCGUUAAAGCACUACAGAAGCUCAUGGAUUAUAGCAGUUCUGCAGUUCCUCUACUCCGGGAUCUUGGGGGAGUAGAACUUUUGUCUCAGAGGUUAGAGUUAGAGGUUCAUCACAUUCUUAAGUUGACUGGAGAGAACAACAGUGAUAUGGUGGUUGGUGAAUCGUUAGAUCUAAAUGGUGAUCAGUUGCUCUCCCGAAAGAGACUCAUCAAGGUUCUUUUGAAGUCUCUUGGUUCUUCUACGUAUACUCCUGGAAAUGCGAAUAGGUCUCAAAGUUCUCAGGAGAGCACGUUGCCUGCCACUUUGUCUUUGAUAUACAGGAAUGCAGAUAAAUUUGGUGGCGAUAUCUAUUACUCAGCUGUGACGGUUAUGAGUGAUUUAAUCCACAAAGACCCCACAUCUCUUACUUCCCUGUUUGAAAUGGGCCUCCCUGAAGCAUUUCUGUCUUCAGUUGUAUCAGGAGUACUUCCUUCUUCCAAGGCUAUUGCAUGCAUUCCAAAUGGCCUGGGUGCAAUAUCUCUUAAUAGCAAAGGUUUGGAGACAGUAAAAGAAACUUCGGCACUGCGCUUCCUUGUUGAUGUCUUUACUUCCAAGAAGUAUGUUCUAGCUAUGAAUGAGGCCAUCGUUCCGUUUACAAAUGCCGUGGAAGAGCUUUUGCGUCAUGUCUCAUCUCUAAGAGCCACCGGUGUUGAAAUAAUCAUUGAAAUUGUGGAUAGAAUUGCAUGCUUUGGAGAGAGUGGUUCUUCAUCAUCCUCUGUAAGUACUGCAAUGGAAAUGGAUUCAGAUGUGAAGAACAUAAAUGGCGUCAGUCAUGAGCAGUUUGUUCAACUCUGCAUCUUUCAUCUGAUAAUUCUGCUCCACAGAACAAUGGAGAAUGCUGAGACUUCUCGUCUCUUUGUGGAGAAGUCUGGCAUUGAGGCGUUACUUAAGCUUCUCUUGCGACCUAGCAUUGCUCAGUCUUCUGAAGGGGUGUCUAUUGCCUUGCACAGCACCAUUGUUUUUAAGGGUUUUACGCAGCAUCACUCUGCUUCUCUUGCUCGGGCCUUUUGCUCUUCUCUUCGUGAUCAGGUGAAGAAAGCUUUAGGAGGACUGCAAGAUCUCUCGGGGACAUUCUUACUUGAUCGAAAACUUUCUCCAAGCUGUGGAAUUUUUUCUUCUCUUUUCCUUGUGGAGUUUCUUCUGUUUCUAGCUGCAUCAAAGGAUAACCGUUGGAUGACUGCAUUGCUUUCGGAGUUUGCAAAUGGAAGCAAGGAUGUUCUGGAGAAUAUAGGCCAGUUGCACCGUGAAAUUCUAUGGCAUAUAGCAGUUUACGAGAGUGGAACGCUGGAAAGUCCAAAUACUUCUCCCGAGUCAGAGCAAACAGAGCUGUCUUCAAAUGGAACGGAAGGACAAAGGUUCAGUUCUUUUAGACAGUUUCUGGAUCCAUUAUUUCAGAGGAGAACGUCAGGAUGGAGCGCAGAAUCGCAAUUCUUUGAUUUAACAAAUCUUUACCGUGAUCUUGGACGUGCAUCGACUGGAUUUCAACCCCGACCAAUCAGUGAUGGUCCCUCUAGUUCAUCAGACGCUUCUGGUAACAGAGAGCUUGAAAGAGAUGGAUCCUAUUAUACAUCAUGCUGUGACAUGGUGAAGUCAUUGUCCUCCCACAUCACAUACAUAUUCCAAGAGUUAGGGAAGGCAAUGCUGCUCCAAUCUCGUCGGAGAGAAGAUACAGUAAAUGUAUCUCCGUCAUCUAAGUUAGUUGCCUCAAGUUUUGCUUCAAUAUCCCUGGAUCACUUGAAUUUUGAAGGCCAUGAGAUUGCAGCUGAGGCAUCAAGGUCAACUAAAUGUCUCUACCUUGGCAAGGUUGUUGACUUCAUCGAUGCUGUCCUUCUUGACAGGCCUGAUUCGUGUAAUCCUGUUCUGAUAAAUUGCUUUUAUGGCCGGGGGGUGAUUCAGACGGUUUUGACAACAUUUGAUGCUACUAGCCAGCUUUUAUUUUCAAUUAAUAGGAGCUACUCAUCUCCGAUGGAGACUGAUGAUGUUAAAGGAAAGCAGGAUGAAAAGGAAGAUACAGAUCAUGCCUGGAUAUAUGGUCCGCUGGCUGGCUACGGGAAGCUCAUGGACCAUUUGGCUACGUCAUCGUUUAUCUUAUCACCAUUCACAAAACGCUUGCUCGUUCAACCAGUAGAAAAUGGGAAUAUUCCAUUUCCACAAGAUGCUGAGACAUUUGUGAAGAUCCUGCAGUCCAUUGUGUUGAAAGCUGUACUUCCGGUUUGGACUCAUCCACUAUUUACGGAAUGUAGUUAUGAUUUCGUCACUGCCCUCAUUUCCAUCAUCAAGCAUGUGUAUUCUGGAGUUGAACUGAAAAGCUUAGCUGGCAGUAGUAGCGCUCGUGUAACAGGUCCACCUCCCAGUGAAACAACCAUUUCAACAAUUGUGGAGAUGGGGUUCUCCAGAUCCAGAGCCGAAGAAGCUUUGAGACAGGUUGGAUCGAACAGUGUUGAGUUAGCCAUGGAAUGGCUGUUUUCCCACCCAGAAGAAAUCCAAGAGGACGAUGAGCUUGCUCGUGCUCUUGCAAUGUCCCUUGGAAAUUCUGAAUCAGAUACAAAGGAGAAUGUUGUAGAUGAAACUCGAGAACAGAUUGAAGCAGAAAUAGUCUCGCUGCCACCAGUUGAAGAGCUUAUAACAACAUGUACGAAGCUUCUGCAGAUGAAAGAGCCCCUUGCUUUUCCCGUUAGAGACUUGCUUGUAUUGAUAUGCUCAGAAAACAAUGGAGAACACCGAUCUGGUGUUAUAUCUUGCCUUCUUAGCCGGAUUAAGGAUUGUUGUCCUGUCUUCGAUGACACAAAGAACAAUCUGCUCUCUGCUCUGUUGCAUGUUCUUGCUUUGAUUCUACAUGAAGACGCAGGUUCCCGCGAAGUUGCGCUGAAGGCGGGUAUUGUAAGACUUGUGUGCGAUGUACUCUCAAAGUGGGAUUCUGGUAGUAUUGAUAAGGAAAAGUUUAAUGUUCCAAAGUGGGUGACGACAGGGUUUCUUGCCAUUGAUAGGCUGCUACAAGUGGACCAGAAAUUAAAUACUGAGCUUAUAGAGGAGUUGCAAAAAGGUGAGACAUCUCUGGCCAUUGAUGAGAGCAAACAAGACAAGCUGCAAUCUGUUUUUGGCUCUCCACAGCUUGUUGAUGCUGACGAUCAGAAGAAGUUGAUUGAGAUUGCUUGUACAUGUAUCCGGAAUCAGCUUCCUUCUGAAACUAUGCAUGCUGUUUUACAACUGUGUUCUACAUUGACAAGGAAGCAUUCUGUUGCUGUCUGCUUUCUUGAUUUUGGAGGUGUGCAAGGACUGCUUUCUCUGCCGAGUAAUAGUCUUUUUCCAGGGUUUGACUCAGUUGCUGCUAGUAUCAUCCGUCAUAUUCUUGAAGACCCCCAAACGCUUCAGCAAGCCAUGGAAUCUGAGAUAAAACAUGCACUUGCAACACUUUCCAACAGGCACUCAAAUCAGAGAAUCUCUCCACGCAAUUUUUUGUUGCAUGUGAAUUCUGUAAUUGCUCGGGAUCCAGUCACUUUUAUCCAGGCCGCUCGUUCUAUAUGCCAAGUAGAGAUGGUUGGUGAAAGACCUUACAUCGUGUUAGUCAAAGAAAAAGAGAAAUCAAAAGACAAAGAGAAGGAUAAGGAUAAGGACAGAGCUGACAAAGAGAAAUCUCAGACUUCUAAUGAAGUUGCAACUACCACUCCCCCUGGGAGCACCAAGGCUAAAGUUUACCGGAAACCUCCUCAGUCGUUCAUUGGUGUUGUUGAGCUGCUUCUGGAUUCUCUCUGUAAUUUCGUUCCUCCUCCAAAAGAUGACAUGGUUGAAGGUGAUUCUACUUCAGCAGACAUGGAUAUUGAUCAUGCCUCUACUAAGGGAAAAGGCAAAGCGGUUGCUACUACACCUGAAGAAAAGAAAGCUAUUUCACAGGACAUGUCAGCUUCAUUGGCUAAAAUUGUUUUCAUUCUGAAGCUUUUGAGCGAGAUACUGUUCAUGUAUUCUUCGUCAAUCCAUAUAAUACUUCGAAGAGAUGCUGAAAUUAACAGUCUUAGA
Molecule: long non-coding RNA, 27135 nt
Filed under: Brassica napus (rape)
Lineage: Eukaryota; Viridiplantae; Streptophyta; Magnoliopsida; Brassicales; Brassicaceae
Description: long non-coding RNA (BNAP_LNC019889)
Source: RNAcentral